RNAcentral lists this ribosomal RNA (497 nucleotides) under uncultured bacterium. Its description in RNAcentral is "partial 16S ribosomal RNA". It matches the Rfam family "Bacterial small subunit ribosomal RNA", at positions 28 to 507 of the family's 1533-position model. The record is from RNAcentral.
GAUGAACGCUGGCGGCGUGCCUAAUACAUGCAAGUCGAGCGAACAGACGAGGAGCUUGCUCCUCUGACGUUAGCGGCGGACGGGUGAGUAACACGUGGAUAACCUACCUAUAAGACUGGGAUAACUUCGGGAAACCGGAGCUAAUACCGGAUAAUAUAUUGAACCGCAUGGUUCAAUAGUGAAAGACGGUUUUGCUGUCACUUAUAGAUGGAUCCGCGCCGCAUUAGCUAGUUGGUAAGGUAACGGCUUACCAAGGCGACGAUGCGUAGCCGACCUGAGAGGGUGAUCGGACACACUGGAACUGAGACAAGGUCCAGACUCCUACGGGAGGCAGCAGUAGGGAAUCUUCCGCAAUGGACGAAAGCCUGACGGAGCAACGCCGCGUGAGUGAUGAAGGUCUUCGGAUCGUAAAACUCUGUUAUUAGGGAAGAACAAAUGUGUAAGUAACUAUGCACGUCUUGACGGUACCUAAUCAGAAAGCCACGGCUAACUACGUG